Molecule: ribosomal RNA, 253 nt
Filed under: uncultured bacterium
Lineage: Bacteria
Description: partial 16S ribosomal RNA
Rfam family: Bacterial small subunit ribosomal RNA
Source: RNAcentral
UACGUAGGCCGCGAGCGUUGUUCGGAAUUACUGGGCGUAAAGAGUGUGUAGGCGGUGUUCCCAGUCUGUUGUGAAAUCUCCCGGCUUAACUGGGAGGGUGCAGCGGAAACUAGAAUGCUAGAGGGUGGGAGAGGUAAGCGGAAUUCCUGGUGUAGCGGUGAAAUGCGUAGAUAUCAGGAGGAACACCUGUGGUGUAGACAGCUUACUGGACCACUUCUGACGCUGAGACACGAAAGCGUGGGUAGCAAACAGG